GAAUGGCAAGGAGGUGUUUGCAACUUCCUAGAAUGGCGGACUGGUGAGUAACACGUGGGUGACAUACCUUCAGGACGGGGAUAGCUUCUAGAAAUUAGAAUAAUACCGGAUACGACCACUACCGUUAGAGGGUAGUGAGGAAAGGGGCUACGGCCCCGCCUGAGGAAUGGCCCGCGGCCCAUUAGCUAGUUGGUGAGGUAACGGCCCAGCAAGGCGAUGAUGGGUAUCCGGCCUAAGAGGGUGAACGGACACAUUGGGACUGAGAUACGGCCCAGACUCCUACGGGAGGCAGCAGCUAAGAAUAUUCCGCAAUGGGCGAAAGCCUGACGGAGCGACGCCGCGUGGAUGAUGAAGGCCGUGAGGUUGUAAAGUCCUUUUGAACCUGACGAAUAAGCGCUGUAGGGAAUGAUAGCGUGGUGACGGUAGGGUUUGAAUAAG
RNAcentral lists this ribosomal RNA (438 nucleotides) under uncultured Treponema clone RFS55p. RNAcentral's name for it is "bacterial SSU rRNA". It matches the Rfam family "Bacterial small subunit ribosomal RNA", at positions 64 to 490 of the family's 1533-position model. The record is from RNAcentral. Lineage: Bacteria; Pseudomonadati; Spirochaetota; Spirochaetia; Treponematales; Treponemataceae.